This 48-nucleotide non-coding RNA is filed under the name Trichobilharzia regenti. The record is from RNAcentral. Lineage: Eukaryota; Metazoa; Platyhelminthes; Trematoda; Strigeidida; Schistosomatidae.
GUAUUGUUGAAGAGUCUCAGGCAACAGGACGAAACAGCUGUCUAGUAC